This is a long non-coding RNA of Syngnathus typhle (broad-nosed pipefish), 1084 nucleotides long. RefSeq lists it as uncharacterized. The transcript has 2 exons. The record is from RefSeq and is a predicted model, not a curated record. NCBI's taxonomy places the organism in Eukaryota, Metazoa, Chordata, Actinopteri, Syngnathiformes, Syngnathidae.
CGAUGACAGGCGAGGCAGCCCGUUCUUCUCAUGGUCAUGGACGAGGUUCUCCGGGAUCUCUUCCACACCCGAAAAAUCUCCUAUCAAUGACAACGAUCAGACAAAAAGUCCGAUGACGAGGUGUCUGGCAGAACAAGAUCUUGUGCUUGUCGCAGACAAAGAUGCGGUCCAGGACAAACUUGCUGAUGGGGAUGCGAGUCAAAUUCUCCAGGCUUCUGUUUUUACAUCCAACAGAGAGCAGUUGUAGCCGCUUCUCAACGAUGGAGUCCCACUCGUGCAUCUCGGAAACGGCCGAGGACUGAGCCAUCAUCUGAAAACACACGCACAAAGUAAGUCAUAAUAAACACGUGACGGCUCGCCUUGUUUUGAUGACUACCUGCUCUGGAUCCUGCAAAACCGGGUUUCCUGCAGUGGACAGGGUAACCUUCCCUGUUGUUUGUCCCGACACAGUCAAGUUUGGACUACCAACUCGCUCCUCAUAUUCUGGAACAUAUUAACGAGGGUGCUUUUACGCACACACAUGACACACACACGUUAUGCCUGGAAGAACCCACCUUCGACACUUUUGUGCCCAAUGAGCUUAGUCGCAAACACAAGGAUGAGCAGCACCCAGCCGCAAGCCCCGAGGAACAUCCAGUGGUGCCGCAUCGCUGCAUCAGCCCGCGGCCAAAGGAAGCUCUCUCGCCUUUUGACACCUACUUCGGGCUAUAGCUGUUUUGCGCAAAAACGCAUUGUGGAGGAACCGACGAGGCCCGCUCGGUUUAAAGCCGAAACAUCUCCAUUCACGAUUUGGCGUUCUUGUCAGUGCCCAGAGAAUGAUGACAACACUAGCCUAGCUGUUAGCUCCCCCUAAAAAUUAGCCGUGGAGCGGUCCAGUCGCUCCAGGUCUGCGCCCCGAAAGUUUGCCGCACGCGGCUGUUGGAACGGCAUUAUUCGGUUUGUGGAAGGCGUGCUGGUGUCGAGCGCUUUUAGUGACAAUAGCCGACCAACUGGUAAAACAACACGGACUGGCCGGAAUAAUUGCUUCUCAUCACUAGUGAAUACAUCUAAGUACAUAGCACGUUACAUGGAGAGCGGUGCGGUA